AGCAGCCGCGGUAAUUCCAGCUCCAAUAGCGUAUAUUAAAGUUGUUGCAGUUAAAAAGCUCGUAGUUGAAUUUCGGGAUUAAUAUGCUGGUCGUGCCAUUGGUACGUACUAGUAUUAUUGAUUUCUCCCUUCUGAUGAAUCAUGAUGUCAUUAAUUUGAUGUCAUGGGGAAUCAGGACUGUUACUUUGAAAAAAUUAGAGUGUUUAAAGCAGGCUCGCGCUUGAAUACAUUAGCAUGGAAUAAUGAAAUAGGACGUUUGAUUCUAUUUUGUUGGUUUCUAGGAUCGACGUAAUGAUUAAUAGGGAUAGUUGGGGGCAUUAGUAUUCAAUUGUCAGAGGUGAAAUUCUUGGAUUUAUUGAAGACUAACUACUGCGAAAGCAUUUGCCAAGGAUGUUUUCAUUAAUCAAGAACGAAAGUUAGGGGAUCGAAGACGAUCAGAUACCGUCGUAGUCUUAACCAUAAACUAUGCCGACUAGGGAUCGGAUGAUGUUAAUUUUUUAAUGACUCA
This 508-nucleotide ribosomal RNA is filed under the name uncultured Glomus. RNAcentral describes it as "SSU rRNA". It matches the Rfam family "Eukaryotic small subunit ribosomal RNA", at positions 569 to 1078 of the family's 1831-position model. Lineage: Eukaryota; Fungi; Glomeromycota; Glomeromycetes; Glomerales; Glomeraceae. The record is from RNAcentral.